AACGAACGCUGGCGGCAUGCCUAACACAUGCAAGUCGAACGAGACCUUCGGGUCUAGUGGCGCACGGGUGCGUAACGCGUGGGAAUCUGCCCUUUGGUUCGGAAUAACAGUUGGAAACGACUGCUAAUACCGGAUGAUGACGAAAGCCCAAAGAUUUAUCGCCAGAGGAUGAGCCCGCGUAGGAUUAGCUAGUUGGUGUGGUAAAGGCGCACCAAGGCGACGAUCCUUAGCUGGUCUGAGAGGAUGAUCAGCCACACUGGGACUGAGACACGGCCCAGACUCCUACGGGAGGCAGCAGUGGGGAAUAUUGGACAAUGGGCGAAAGCCUGAUCCAGCAAUGCCGCGUGAGUGAUGAAGGCCUUAGGGUUGUAAAGCUCUUUUACCCGGGAUGAUAAUGACAGUACCGGGAGAAUAAGCUCCGGCUAACUCCGUGCCAGCCGCCGCAGUAA
RNAcentral lists this ribosomal RNA (449 nucleotides) under uncultured bacterium. RNAcentral describes it as "partial 16S ribosomal RNA". It matches the Rfam family "Bacterial small subunit ribosomal RNA", at positions 29 to 523 of the family's 1533-position model. The record is from RNAcentral.